Molecule: long non-coding RNA, 1773 nt
Filed under: Homo sapiens (human)
Lineage: Eukaryota; Metazoa; Chordata; Mammalia; Primates; Hominidae
Description: non-protein coding lnc-ZNF485-68:7
Source: RNAcentral
GAGCAUUUGCAGAGGCUUGGGAGGGAGUGGACGUGUCCCUGAUGCUAAGGGCAGAGGAGGAGCGGGGCCCUCGGGCAGCUGGAAGGGCAUCCUGAAAAGACGCCUGCCUGCCGCCGUUCUCCUGGCAGCAGGGCGCGCUGGGAAGCACCAGGCAGGAAGUGAAGAAUUUCCGGUUGUCAGCGGAGGGAUGGGGCGUCACCAAGUCUGUGGCAAGCACACCAAGAACCAGCUAAGUCCAAGGCUCACCUGCAUGGCAAAUGGUGAAGAGCCCAGCUCCCACUGAAGGCAUAUGACCCAGAUCCUGAGAACCAGAUGCACCGGCCUGAGCUUUCGUCAGAAGCAAGGACACACAGAACCUUUCUUAGAGGCAUCAUUAGAGGACCGGACAUGGUGGCCAGAGGCUGCAGGGACAGAAGUCCCAGGGCCAUGUCCAGGAACUGGGCUCAGGGGACCUCCUGGUGCCACCUGCAUAUCUGAGCCCAUGGAGUUCCUCUGGUCUAUUCAGUUCUCUCAUUUUAACUUAAUUUUGUUUUUGUAGGCUUUCUUAAAAAAUUGCCCAGUUCAUUUACCUGAUCACGUUUAUUGUUCAGAGUUGAGUGUGGUUCUCUCGUAAUUAUUUAGUCUCCACUGGGUCUGUGAUUAUAUUUCCUUUCUUAUUGCUAAUGCUGUUUGUGUUUGAUUUUCUUCUUUUUUUUCUUGGCCUGACUUAAAGAGGUUUGUCUGUUUUAUCUUUAUUUUAAAAAUAACCAACUGUUUAUUUUUACUUCUCCACUGUGAUUUCCCCCUUUAUUUCUUUAAUGUUUGAGUUUAUAUUUUUUCCUAUUUAUUUUGGCUUAAAUUUUAUUAUCAUUUUGCUAUAUCCUUGUGUCAAGCGCUUAAUUCAAUUAUUUUGUUAUUUUGACUUCUAAAAAAUCAGUUAAUUCUAUAAGUUUUCCUCUAUGUACUACAUUGAGCAAACUCCACAGAUUUCUGUAGGGGGCAUACUAAUUGUAAUUCAAUUUCGUUUUCCAUGUGUAGGUCCAGAUUUAUUUGAAUGUCCAAAUACUUAGAAUUGUAGGCUCUUGUUUUGUUAUUAAAGUCUGGUUUUAUUACAUUGUGUUUAGAGAAAAUAAUAUGGAGGAUUUUAAUUUUAGAUAAAGCAUUAAUAUCUUUUUUAUCCUCAAACAUGAUCAAUUUUUGACAGUGUUCCAAAAAUAUACUAUGAAAUAUAUAUUAUCUGUUGGAAUAGAGUAAUAUAUGUACACACUCUGCCAUGUGCAUAUGUUUAUAUAUCAUAUUUAGUCAAUGGUAGUUGUGUUAGCCAAGUCCUGGAGUCAUCUCGAUUCAAGUUUGUUGAGGCAGAAUUGUCAAUUUCGUCCUCAGCUCAGCUUCAACUACUUAACAGAACCUGAUUCAUAUAGGAAUUAAGUAAAUGUUUGUUGAAUGAAAUUCAGUGUCCCCAACCUUUUUGGCACCAGGGACUGGUUUUGUUGAAGACAGUUUUUCCAUGGAUGAUGGUAGGGGAUGGUUUCAGGAUGAUUCAAGUGCAUUACCUUUAUUGUGCACUCUAUUUCUAUUAUUAUUACACUGUAAUUAAUGAAAUGAUGGUAAAACUCACAAUAAUGUAGAAAUCAGUGGGAGCUCUGAGCUUGUUUUCCUACAACUAGAUGGUCCUCUCUGGGGGUGAUGGGAGACAGUGACAGAUCACCAGGCAUUACAUUCUCAUAAGGAGUGUGCAACCUAAUAUAGAUUCCUCGCAUGCACAGACCACAAUAGGGUUCGUGCUUCUAGGAG